This 428-nucleotide ribosomal RNA is filed under the name uncultured archaeon. RNAcentral's name for it is "bacterial SSU rRNA". It matches the Rfam family "Archaeal small subunit ribosomal RNA", at positions 474 to 903 of the family's 1478-position model. The record is from RNAcentral.
UACCAGCUCUCCGAGUAGUGUGGAUGUUUAUUGGGCCUAAAGCAUCCGUAGCUUGCUAAGCAAGUCCCCUGUUAAAUCCACCGAUUCAAUCGGUGGAUUGCGGGGGAUACUGUUUGGCUAGGGGACGGGAGAGGCCGACGGUAUUUCCGGGGUAGGGGUGAAAUCCUAUAAUCCCGGGAAGACCACCAGUGGCGAAGGCUGUCGGCUAGAACGCGCCCGACGGUGAGGGAUGAAAGCUGGGGGAGCGAACCGGAUUAGAUACCCGGGUAGUCCCAGCUGUAAACGAUGCAGGCUAGGUGUUUGGGCGGCCACGUGCCGCUCUAGUGCCGCAGAGAAGUCGUUAAGCCUGCCGCCUGGGGAGUACGGCCGCAAGGCUGAAACUUAAAGGAAUUGGCGGGGAGCACCACAAGGGGUGAAGCUUGCGGUUU